AGUGAACGCUGGCGGUAGGCCUAACACAUGCAAGUCGAACGGCAGCACAGCAAGAUCUUGCUCUUACGGGUGGCGAGUGGCGGACGGGUGAGGAAUACAUCGGAAUCUACUUUUUCGUGGGGGAUAACGUAGGGAAACUUACGCUAAUACCGCAUACGACCUACGGGUGAAAUCAGGGGAUCUUCGGACCUUGCGCGAUUGAAUGAGCCGAUGUCGGAUUAGCUAGUUGGCGGGGUAAAGGCCCACCAAGGCGACGAUCCGUAGCUGGUCUGAGAGGAUGAUCAGCCACACUGGAACUGAGACACGGUCCAGACUCCUACGGGAGGCAGCAGUGGGGAAUAUUGGGCAAUGGACGAAAGCCUGAUCCAGCAAUACCGCGUGGGUGAUGAAGGCCUUCGGGUUGUAAAACCCUUUUGUUGGGAAAGAAAAGCAGCAGGUUAAUACCCCGCUGUUCUGACGGUACCCAAAGAAUAAGCACCGGCUAACUUCGUG
This 492-nucleotide ribosomal RNA is filed under the name uncultured bacterium. RNAcentral's name for it is "partial 16S ribosomal RNA". It matches the Rfam family "Bacterial small subunit ribosomal RNA", at positions 29 to 507 of the family's 1533-position model. The record is from RNAcentral.